RNAcentral lists this ribosomal RNA (253 nucleotides) under uncultured bacterium. Its description in RNAcentral is "partial 16S ribosomal RNA". It matches the Rfam family "Bacterial small subunit ribosomal RNA", at positions 524 to 776 of the family's 1533-position model. The record is from RNAcentral.
UACGAAGGGGGCUAGCGUUGUUCGGAUUUACUGGGCGUAAAGCGCAUGUUGGCGGGCCGAUAAGUUGGGGGUGAAAUCCCGGAGCUCAACUCCGGAACUGCCUCCAAAACUAUCGGACUGGAGCAGAAGAGAGGCGAGUGGAAUUCCGAGUGUAGAGGUGAAAUUCGUAGAUAUUCGGAGGAACACCAGUGGAGAAGGCGACUCGCUGGCUUCUUGCUGACGCUGAGAUGCGAAAGCGUGGGGAGCAAACAGG